RNAcentral lists this long non-coding RNA (5184 nucleotides) under Chinchilla lanigera (long-tailed chinchilla). Its description in RNAcentral is "lncRNA (ENSCLAG00000027617.1)". Lineage: Eukaryota; Metazoa; Chordata; Mammalia; Rodentia; Chinchillidae. The record is from RNAcentral.
GUGUAUUUCAUUGGUAUAUUGGCUUUCCAUCCGGUGAUGUGGAGAGAGCUUUCACGGUAGCUUAGUAUUAAUACCUAAGUGUCAAUUCAAGUUUCAUAAACUUGAAAAAGGCUCACCCUAACUUAUUUGGCAUUCGUUUUUGCUUGUGAAGUUGGGACAAGGAGCUUAUUCCAGGUGUUACUGUGGAAAUCCAGUAAGAGAUUUUGGAGCAGAGGCCACAGAUGCACUUGGGUGCAUGAGGAAGCCAGGAGAAGGUGCCGAGAGUGGGACUCUGGGUCAAUGCCAGUCAAUCAGGAUAUUUAUCUGGAAACCACCCUGUAAUUUGGAAAUGAAGCUGGAAGCCAAGAGAUUGGUACCUGAACAGAAGCCAGGACUCCUGCAGGACCAUACAGUGAGGUACUGUAAGGUUCAAGUCAGACCCGACUGUCUCAGCCCACAACCUGCUUGUCCGCAGAGGCACUAUUCUCAGCAGGGAACUCAGCUCAGCACCGAAGCUGCCAUGGACAAGCACAGGAAAGAAGACAGAUAGGACAAGGAAUCUUGCAGGUCCUGGGAACAUCUGGUAACGUCUGGAGACAUCCAAAAAUUUACGCUGGAUACUUCAAGGACACUGCUCACUGAAGUGCAAGACUGCCAGAGAGCUCUGAUCGUAGAUGUGUUUUAGAAUCUCCCUGCCUAAGAAAGGGACCCUGCCUUCUUUCCAUCCCUAUAAAAGGGACACACUUCUAUUUGCUCCCAGAAGAUCGCCUUACCACUCUCUACCUGCCUGCACCCAGGCACAAUAAAUUUCAUGCCAUAUUGGCUUUACACAAGCCUGGUGGUCUCCGCUGGCCCCCGCCCCCCACAGGUUAUAGGUGCACCCCUGGCUCACACUCCCUUCUCAGCCUUUUCAUCUCUCAUCUGACUUACAUGGCUUCCCCUUCCCAACCUGCAGGUGCAACUCCACUGCUACCUCCUCAAAGAACACUAUGUGGACCACCCUCUGUAAUUUAGGUCUUCUCUCCUGUUUCUUAUGACAGCAUCCUAUGUCUUUCCUCCCUAGCUCUAACCACAAACUACACUUUUAAUGUAUUUCUUCUUUUUAUGAUAAUACAUUUCUUUCAGGAGACUGUGAGUUCCUUGAGAACAAAGCCCUCGUGUCCUGCUCACUGCUGUAACUCCAGUGGCCUGGAGAGCACUGGGCAUGCAUAGGCUCUCAAGAGAUGAAUGGAUAUUGACACAUGAGUGCAUGUUCUUCCUGCUCAGAUCUCGUGGAUUCCUGCUCAUCCUCCAAAGUCUAUCAGGCCCCAAAGGUACUUCUCCGGGAAGACUUCUCACAGCCUCCCUGAUCAAGACUGUCCUUUGAGUGCAAAAAUUGUGAUCUGCAUACCAACAACAUGUGAUUAAAUACAUUGCAUUGUAACUGAGUUGAAGGCCUAAUAAUGCCAAGAGACUAUGAGUUGCUUGAGUACCCAGCUCCAGCUCCACAUAUGCGUUGUGAUCAAACAUUCAUCCUUUUGUACCUGCAAUGCUACUUACAUCAAGAGAAGCCAUCCCCUUUUAAUAACUUUAAUUGAAUCCAGAGCUGAGUGGGGCGAGAAGUGAGGAGAGAGAGCAAAGACAACAUGAAAAUAGCUACAGCAUUAGAUUCUGUGGAACAUCCUAGUUAAUUAUUCAUCGAUUGUACACCUACCCAUAAAACACAGAUUUAUGACUUGAGGCUUAUAUCUGCAGCAUAACACAAACUUCGCCAUCUAGUGGUGGAUUUUUGAACCUCAGACAUGUGUCUUUUAUUUAUUUACCAACCCCCCAGCAGCUGCAGUAUUUAUGAACCACCACAUAGGUGCCAAUAAUUAACCAGGGGAAACCUAGGUCCUCAUCUAGUCAUUCAUAUGUUGCUCACUUCCUAGAGGAAAACGUUGUUUGGAGUUUUGGUGCUGAUAUUUUGGUGCUGACAUGUUUAGAUAAACAGACCCACGCACAUAGAAGUCAGGUACCUUGGUGCAAAGGUCAAACACUUGGGGCCUAAUAUAAGUUGCUUUUGCUCUUUCUUCAUUAGUAACUACAAAAAAUGUAAACAAGUUGGAGGGAUUUAAAAACCAAAAGUUUGCACAUAUGCAUGAAUGCCCCACAUGGACUUAGGUAUUGACCUUCAGAUCUGGCGCCAGCAGCUUGUGUUCAUAGAUUUCAACAGUUUGCUGGAGCUGAGAAGUGGUUGCCCCUUUACACCAAACCACAUGUCCAACCCCGUAUGCUUUCCUGUCCUCUAAUUCCUUUGCGUUUGAGCUCUUCUCUGUUUCUUGAGAUAUCCGGAUAUCUGUGGGAUUUGAUUCUCCGCAUUUAUUCUUAAGGAAGGACAUCAUCAAAUGUCUCUAAUCACUUUUUUCCAAGAAGGAUCUUUUCUUUUUCCAGCAGAAGCAAUCAUAACUGCACAAUUAUCAAGGGGAUAAUACACAUUGUGAUGACCUGUAGAUGAAAGGCUAUUUAUUUUGUUGGGUUUCUGUUCCUUUUAAAAAUAAUCUCCUUGCUCACAUCCUCAUAUGUGACUAUUUUCCUUCCCCUCUUUGCUUGGGAAGAGAGAAGGUACUUUUAGAGAUGUUAACUAUUUCUUCCUUUUAGGUCUUCAAUGGAUACUUAACUGAUAGUUGCUCAGUGCCAAGACCUCUGCUUCAUGCAGGAGAUGUAGCCCAGAAGGCAACAUACAAAUAUGUGUCCCUUGUGGAGCUAAUGAUGUGGACAUUGUAAAAACCCACAUAGUCACAUGAAGAGCUCUGGACCUAAUAUAGGGGUGGAAAUAGUGUCAGAGGGGUUUCCCUAUUGAAAAUACCAUCAAAGCUUAGAACUCAGAAGGAUGAUUAGCCAAGGAGGGCAAAGCCUUCAUAAAGAGUUUAAAAAAAUUGUUGGGUGUAGAAAAACAUUCAAUAGUGUCUAUGAGUUUCACCAAGUGGCACAGCUUUAUUUUGAGAGAGGUGGGAACAGCUGAAGCUAUGUGCAGGGAAGGGAGUGUUCAGAUGGCUAUUUUCAGAAAACCACUCUAUUCAGAGCUCCAUUUUAAGAGACUUGCCUGAGAGUAGGGAUGCUAGUUCCUUUGGACACUUCCUACCUGGAGUCUGUAAGGUCAAAAGUGUUGUGAAGCAUGCCGGCAGAGGCAUCCUUAGCACCAAGACCGAGCGCUGAUGGCUGUUGCCCUGCCUCUCUGGCCUCUCCUAUUUUGCCUUUUUAAUUCUUAUUGCUCUGGGUCCCCUUUCCUUGUAGUUUCCCCUGUUUUCUCUGCAGUUCUCUCCUCACUUUCCAAGGAUGUCAGUCAUCUUCCUGGAGCUGUUGUGGCUUUGUCGUUGCCUGGAGAACCACAGCAACAAGGUCAUGAACUCUUCCACCCACCCUAGGGAUCCUUUCUACUCAAAAGUUAGCUUCAAAGCCUACUUGGAAGGAGUCAGUGUGAAGCAAAAAGUCCACAAGCAUUUCCUUGGAGUCCUGGCACCGGAAGGUCUUUCUCUUGUUCCCUUUGCUUGAUUCCCAGCUGGUCAGGAGCCUGAACUUCUGCCUACCCAUCCUCCUAUUGGCAGCUCCCAGCAAUGCCCUGGGACUCUUAAGGAAGCUAGGAGUAAAGACUUGAGGAUAGAAGAUACUUAGAUAGUGAUCAAGCCCUAUACCUCCCAAGGACCUUUCUGCCUUUGCAACAGGGAUUGGUCAAUCUCCUCUUUAAAUGAACUGGUACAGGUGUUGGACACACUUGGGUUCUGGCUUGCACAGUGACAGUCACUAGCUGUAUGGGCCCAGCACACAUUCCACUCCUUUGGGCUCUAGUUUCCUUUCCUAUAAAGUAGGAAUAAUAAUCCCAGUUUAGCCUACUUCACAAGGUUAUUGUAAAGAUGGGAAAAUGACCCUAUAGAUCAUUCAAUCAUUUACAAAAUGUUUAUUGAUUAUUCAGCCAUCUGCCAGCCACUGGGAGAUGAAUGCCUUUGUUAAACUGUAACGUGUUGUGCAAAUAUGACAUUCUCAGAUGCAGAAAAUUCACUAUCAUCUGGCUCAGAGUGGGUGUGUGUAUUUUGUUUCCCUUGCCUUUUGUCUGGCCUCCAGGUACAAGCAAUAGCUAGGUACUUGGAUACUGUCCACCCAUGAGCAUGCAAAGUGAGACUUAACAAAUAGACAAUAUCAAUCGUAUUGAUCUAUGUUGACAAAACCUCUGUGUAGUUGGAAGCUUCAUUAAGUCUCACACUAGAAGGCUCUGUAUAAUAGGAUGGUUCAUCAUAGUUUUCAUGUUACUCCAGUACUGACAAGUAGGACCCUAAAGAAGGAGAGCCUGGAAACACCUGGGGCCAGGGCAACCCCCUACCCACAAAUCCCUAAGUUUUGCUGACUCCUAGGCUUCCUUCUUUCUCCUUCUUUACUUUUAUAAUGAAGAGGGAGUCAUUAUGGGAGGCACGGGGAGUGGGGGGCAGUAUGGGAUUUAGGUCCUCAAUGUGAAACAGAUGGGACCUUCAAAUUAGAACAAUUUAGGAAGGUUUAUUUACAGAGGGAAACACAAAGAAUCAUGAGGUCACUCAGGGGUAGUAACAGCUGAGCUGUCACCACCGAGGCCCAAAGGGAUGAAGGGAGGGGACUGCAUCCUUAGCCAGAAGGACAGAGCCAUCUGGAAAACUUGUGGACAUAAUUGUCAGUGGUUGGGCAAGAGAUCGUGGUAGUGCUAAUGUAGAAGUGCAGGAUAGUGAGAGAGAAAGGUGAAAAUAGAGUUAUUUCAAAGACAGACCUAUGUAGGCUUGCAUACAGAAUGGAUUGUGAGGAAGAAGAAAAAGAGAGGAAAGGGCAACUUGUGGGCUUCACAAACAGGGUGAGUGGUGAUGUUGUUACUUUCCACUGGGAACAUGAUAAAGGGCUGGGGUUGUGUUGGAGGAACUACAUUCAAUCUGAGACUUGCUAGGUUAAGAAGAUUGUGUAACAUCUAUGUGGAGAUUUCUGUUAUUCUCUUGGAUAUGGUACCUGCAUUGCAAAAGAGAGACUUCAACUGGAAAUACAGAAUUAUAUUACAUGCAAAAAAUGAAAAUUACACAUCUUAAAGGCUAGCAUGUAAGAUGUUCAAGGCCCUGUGAAAUCUGAUACUUAGAAAGUAAAGAAACCAGUCCUUAGCACUUUGAAAAUUGUCUUUGCUACCAUCCUGGAAUUAUGGCCAUUUGUGAAAGAGAUAAUAAAUAUCUUUAUGGGAUC